ACUCGUGUUUUCCUAAGUGGGGCAAAGUAGAGCAACAUUUAUUUAUAGUCAUGUUUUGUGUCAACACAACACUUAGAUUCCGUCAUCCUCUCUCAUUGAACCGUAGCUGUCUGAUCUCUCUUCAAUCAAAACCCAAAACUUGCUUCUUCAGGUACUUGAUCGCUUGUUUAAUCAAGAAUUUGCUGCUGGAAACGGUCCAAAGAGCAUAAAGUGUUAGAGCUCCCCAAGAAGCAUACUUGCUCGAAAUGGAUCAGCAAGGAAACGGACAACCUCCAGGUGUUGGAGUCGUUACUACAUCUACUCCAAUGCUAUAUGGUGCUCCAUACCAUGCUACUAACCAAAUGGCAGGGCCGCCUUCUCCUCCCGUGUCAGCUGGUGCACAAACAGUUGGUCUUCCUGCAUCUUCAGCUCAGAUGGCACAACAUCAGAUUGCUUAUCAGCACAUCCACCAACAGCAGCAGCAACAAUUGCAGCAACAACUACAAAAUUUCUGGGCAAAUCAAUAUCAAGAAAUUGAGCACGUUAAUGAUUUCAAGAAUCACAGCCUGCCAUUGGCAAGGAUCAAGAAAAUCAUGAAGGCAGAUGAAGAUGUUAGAAUGAUAUCUGCGGAAGCACCAGUUGUAUUUGCUCGGGCUUGUGAGAUGUUUAUCCUUGAGUUGACACUCCGUGCAUGGAACCACACUGAGGAGAACAAAAGGAGGACACUCCAGAAAAAUGACAUUGCAGCAGCUAUAACAAGGACAGACAUAUUUGAUUUCUUGGUUGACAUUGUUCCAAGAGAGGACUUGAAAGAUGAAGUGCUUGCAUCAAUUCCUAGAGGGAACCUACCUGUUGGAGGCCCUGCCGAGGGUCUCCCAUACAAUUAUUAUAUGCCUAUGCAAUCUGCUCCUCAGAUUGGAGCUUCAGGGAUGUAUAUGGGGAAGCCUGCUGAUCAAGCUCUUUAUGGACAGCCUCCCCGUCCUUAUAUGGCUCAGCCAAUCUGGCCCCAGCAACAGCAACAGCAACAGCAACCACCAUCAGACUCUUAAGCAUCUGGGGCAUCAGAUUACUAUGAUGGAUUGGAGAGUAGCUUCCAUCAAUACAAUUGCUAUUUGCAGUAUUGGAAAAUGGUCUUUAUCAACCUCUUCCAUGCGGGUUUCAAGUUUUCUUUAUCAUAUGAAGUCGACAGCAGAUGGUAAUCUAAGAUGCAAGUACUGGAGGAUACACUACAAUGAUAGCAGACUGCAUAUUUGAGCUCAUAAUAGGGACAUAUAGAGCAACAGUUCUUCGAUGUUUCCUAGUGUAGCUUAUUCCUCUCAUGAUGAGCUCAAUGUAUUAGUAACAAAAUGAAACCCUCCAAAACCCCUUUUUUAUUUGUGUUUUCCAGAGAAGUAGCGGUGUUAAAUGCUUAUGUUGUAUGACUAAUGGUGGUGAGCUUUUGUGGAUUGGAAGUAAAACCUGAGUUUAGGUUUGCGUAUGUGAAUAUCUCUUCUAGAUGA
Lycium barbarum (goji berry) is the source of this 1478-nucleotide RNA transcript. It is a transcript of the gene named nuclear transcription factor Y subunit C-9-like, with no coding region annotated. The transcript has 5 exons. NCBI's taxonomy places the organism in Eukaryota, Viridiplantae, Streptophyta, Magnoliopsida, Solanales, Solanaceae. The record is from RefSeq and is a predicted model, not a curated record.